GGUUGCGAUCAUACCAGCACUAAUGCACCGGAUCCCAUCCGAACUCCGCAGUUAAGCGUGCUUGGGCGAGAGUAGUACUAUGAUGGGUGACCCCCUGGGAAGUCCUCGUGUUGCAACCC
RNAcentral lists this ribosomal RNA (119 nucleotides) under Helianthus annuus (common sunflower). The record is from RNAcentral. Lineage: Eukaryota; Viridiplantae; Streptophyta; Magnoliopsida; Asterales; Asteraceae.